GCCCGGGGCCGCUCCCGAGCUUUCUCCCCUCUUCCCUGGAGAGCGACUGUUCGGGAGGGUGAGAAUGGUAUAAAUUUCAAAAACAACGAAACCUUCUUUUGCCCCCUCCGCAGCAGUCGCCUCCGGGCUUUAUUGCAAGUUUACGGAAAACCCGAAAGAUGGAGCCUCAGGUUCGCGCUCUGCGUUGCGGGUGCUGGAACCGAGAUUCAAAAAGAGCUUCCGGAGGGGGGAACGGUCUGGAGGGCAGCUCAGGGUACAAUUGCGCCUUGUUAGUGAAAAGGCGCCCUGCUUAUUUUCCGGAGUAUAUGUGUGUGCCUCUGCGUUUAUUCGUCUGUGAGCUCAUUGUCUGGAUUCACCUAUUGUGACAUUGUGUUCACACGUUUGUCCGAAUGGUAAGCAAAACAUUUCCUCCUGUAGCUUAACAUAGCCCUUAUGUAAAAAUAAAUAUCUGCAGGCGAAUAUAGGUUCCAUACAAGUAAAUCCGAAAAAAAGUGUGUGUGGGGGGGUCCACACCACUAAUUAUUAUGGCGAGGAAGAUAAAGAAGACAUGGACAGAAGGCGGAUGGCUCUGCGGCCUGGCUCCCGCAGACCGACCGCCUUCUUCUUCCAUUCGAGAUGGCUCGUACCGAACCUCCUUGCCUUCUUCCUGGGUCUCUCGGGGGCUGGACCAAUACAUCUGCCGAUGCCCUGGCCGAAUGGCAGGCGACAUCGGGUCCUGGACCCCCACACGCAGCUCAGUACCCACGAGGCCCCAGGCCGCUGGAAGCCUGUAGCUCCGCGGACGAUGAAAGCCUGCCCGCAGGUUCUCCUGGAGUGGUGAGCCUCUGUCGGAAGGGGGCGCCCACGUCUUUUUAAUGGUCCUAACACACCAGUGGAAUAAAUCUCUAAGAUUCCACAUCUUUUGUUUGCUCUGAAUUUAUUGCGAGUGAAAAACAGAGAAAAUCCUCAAGUUUAAGUUUCUGAUAGCAGAGUGUGGGAGUUAGAGCAUGGGGAGUCCAGAGGUUCCAGACCCCCAAAGGUCUCUACCAGGGCCAUCUCCGUUAGUGGCGGUGGCAGCCCCUCUUGUGGCCUUUUUCCUCUCUCCAAGGGGUCACCCCGCACCAUGCCGCUCCCCCUCAUCUAUCUUGCCCCCUCCCCACAGGCCCAUCUGCGCUGAACUCUCGCCAGUUCCGAAGUCGGCGAGGGAGGGGGUUUACUUGCCCGAUCGUUGGUGGGUUUGAGCUUAUAGAGGCAGAGGAGUAAGAACCUGCGAUAUUGAAAGCUACCCACAUGGGGCUUCCUUGAAGGAGGACGUGGAAGGCAGAAAGUGACCUGCUCUGAGCGGCGCAUGUAACCGAGGACCUUAAGCUGGACCACGGGGCUUGGACGAUUUUUUAAAUCAGGAAAUCGACCUCAUCUUCCUCCUCCUCGUCCUCUUCCCCUGAACCCCCAGUCCGCAUGCACUCACACUCUUUGGCCUUUUCCCUCAGUCCCGGGCUCCUCUUUGGUAAAUAGAUUUGUAGGUGUCUAAGUCACGUCCCACCCUCACUCCUUCCCAGGAGAGGAGACAGGGCUAGGAUCCCACCCGACCGCGGGCCAUAAACACUUGGCUGCGG
RNAcentral lists this long non-coding RNA (1595 nucleotides) under Homo sapiens (human). Lineage: Eukaryota; Metazoa; Chordata; Mammalia; Primates; Hominidae. The record is from RNAcentral.